GCCGGGGUGGUGGAAUUGGUAGACACGCAAGUUUCAGAUACUUGUGGAGAAUAACUCCAUGGAGGUUCAAGUCCUCUCCUCGGCA
RNAcentral lists this transfer RNA (85 nucleotides) under Coxiella-like endosymbiont. RNAcentral's name for it is "tRNA-Leu". It matches the Rfam family "tRNA". From Rfam's summary of the family: Transfer RNA (tRNA) molecules are approximately 80 nucleotides in length. Their secondary structure includes four short double-helical elements and three loops (D, anti-codon, and T loops). Lineage: Bacteria; Pseudomonadati; Pseudomonadota; Gammaproteobacteria; Legionellales; Coxiellaceae. The record is from RNAcentral.